RNAcentral lists this ribosomal RNA (560 nucleotides) under uncultured Staphylococcus sp. Its description in RNAcentral is "bacterial SSU rRNA". It matches the Rfam family "Bacterial small subunit ribosomal RNA", at positions 771 to 1331 of the family's 1533-position model. The record is from RNAcentral. Lineage: Bacteria; Bacillati; Bacillota; Bacilli; Caryophanales; Staphylococcaceae.
AACCGGAUUAGAUACCCUGGUAGUCCACGCCGUAAACGAUGAGUGCUAAGUGUUAGGGGGUUUCCGCCCUUAGUGCUGCAGCUAACGCAUAAGCACUCCGCCUGGGGAGUACGACCGCAAGGUUGAAACUCAAAGGAAUUGACGGGGACCCGCACAAGCGGUGGAGCACGUGGUUUAAUUCGAAGCAACGCGAAGAACCUUACCAAAUCUUGACAUCCUCUGACCCCUCUAGAGAUAGAGUUUUCCCCUUCGGGGGACAGAGUGACAGGUGGUGCAUGGUUGUCGUCAGCUCGUGUCGUGAGAUGUUGGGUUAAGUCCCGCAACGAGCGCAACCCUUAAGCUUAGUUGCCAUCAUUAAGUUGGGCACUCUAAGUUGACUGCCGGUGACAAACCGGAGGAAGGUGGGGAUGACGUCAAAUCAUCAUGCCCCUUAUGAUUUGGGCUACACACGUGCUACAAUGGACAAUACAAAGGGUAGCGAAACCGCGAGGUCAAGCAAAUCCCAUAAAGUUGUUCUCAGUUCGGAUUGUAGUCUGCAACUCGACUAUAUGAAGCUGGAA